AGGAGUUUGAUCCUGGCUCAUAUUGAACGCUGGCGGCAUGCUUAACGCAUGCAAGUCGAACGGUAGCAGGACGCUAGGAUCCCUUCGGGGUGACUUUGUCGCUGACGAGUGGCGGACGGGUGAGUAAUACUUAGGAAUCUACCCAGUAGCGGGGGAUAACUCGAAGAAAUUCGAGCUAAUACCGCAUACGACCUACGGGUGAAAGCGGGGGACCUUCGGGCCUCGCACUAUUGGAUGAGCCUAAGUCGGAUUAGCUAGUUGGUAGGGUAAAAGCCUACCAAGGCAACGAUCCGUAGCUGGUCUGAGAGGAUGAUCAGCCACACUGGGACUGAGACACGGCCCAUACUCCUACGGGAGGCAGCAGUGGGGAAUAUUGGACAAUGGGCGCAAGCCUGAUCCAGCAAUGCCGCGUGUGUGAAGAAGGCCUGCGGGUUGUAAAGCACUUUUAUUAGGAAAGAAAAACCCGGAGUUAAUAGCUCCGGCAUUGACGGUACCUAAAGAAUAAGCACCGGCUAACUCAGUGCCAGCAGCCGCGGUAAUACUGAGGGUGCGAGCGUUAAUCGGAAUUACUGGGCGUAAAGCGAGUGUAGGCGGCUACCUAAAUCGGAUGUGAAAGCCCUGGGCUCAACCUGGGAAUUGCAUUCUAAACUGACUAGCUAGAGUCUGAUAUAGGGCAGUGCAAUUCCGGGUGUAGCGGUG
RNAcentral lists this ribosomal RNA (699 nucleotides) under uncultured bacterium. RNAcentral describes it as "bacterial SSU rRNA". It matches the Rfam family "Bacterial small subunit ribosomal RNA", at positions 1 to 683 of the family's 1533-position model. The record is from RNAcentral.